Molecule: non-coding RNA, 75 nt
Organism: Myotis brandtii (Brandt's bat)
Lineage: Eukaryota; Metazoa; Chordata; Mammalia; Chiroptera; Vespertilionidae
Source: Rfam
GGUGGUUCUCAGGUGAUGCACCCUGGAAUCAGGCUCCCUCCUCUCUGGUUCUGGGUGCAUCACCCAAGAACCGCA